GAUAAGCUUCAUCAAGCUAUCGGUUGUCCACCUGGACUUGCAAUCUGUUCGGAUGCAGGAAAAGGGGUUGAUAGUGCAAUUGAAGAGGUGUAUAAGUAUGCUAAAGAUAGGGAAUGCAUGCACCACUUGGUUGUCAACUUUAAGAAAAAAAUUCAUGGUAAAGUAUUUGAUGACCAUAUGUGGCCAGCAGCUUAUUCAUGGACUCUAGAAGCUUUCAGAGCCCACAUGGCAGCCAUAGAAGAGAAAAAACCUAAAGCAAUAGUGUACUUGACAAGAUACCAUAGUAGGCUUUGGUCCAGGAGAAAAUUUUCCACUUCCUCAAAGGUAGAUUAUGUGACAAACAAUUUGGCCGAGUGCUUCAACAAUUGGAUCAACAAGCACAAGGGCAUGAUGUUGUUUCAGUUGGUGGACAAAAUCAUAAGGAAGAUACUAGUCAAGAUGGAGAAGAGGAGGAUUGCCAAAAAAUUGGAAGGCCACUAUAUACUACCUAGUGUCAUGAAGGAGUUGAAUGCAAAGAGUAGAGGGUUGGACAUAGAGUAUGAGAGAUUACACAUGAAUGCAGAGGUGAGUGAGGGUGGUGAAGAUGGCAAGCGACAUGUUGUGGAUCUGGACAUGAGGACAUGCACAUGUGGAGAAUUCCAAGUAUCAGGGAAGCCUUGCAAGCAUGCCAUUUCCUUCAUCACCAGAAUUAGGGGGGUCACUAUAGAAGACUUUGUUGAUGAUUACUAUAGUGUUGCCAAGUUCAUAGCAGCAUAUACUCCCGUAAUGUCGGGGCUUACUUAUGCAUCACAAUGGCCAAAGAAAACCCAUGAAUUCUUUUUACACCCUCCAAUCCUUCGAAGGGCUCCGAGGACGCCAAAAGUAGAGAGGCACAAGAGUGGUGCUGAGCAAAGCAAGAGCAAGAGAAGAAAAGGACAACAUCAAUGCCUAAUUUGCAAAGACUAUGGUCAUAGAUGGCAAGGUUGCAAAAAUGUUGAUCCAGAUGCAAAAGAAGCGCAUACUGAUGUCGCAAAAGAGAGAAGGUAA
This 1026-nucleotide ribosomal RNA is filed under the name Triticum aestivum (bread wheat). Its description in RNAcentral is "partial small subunit ribosomal RNA". Lineage: Eukaryota; Viridiplantae; Streptophyta; Magnoliopsida; Poales; Poaceae. The record is from RNAcentral.